RNAcentral lists this ribosomal RNA (254 nucleotides) under uncultured bacterium. RNAcentral describes it as "partial 16S ribosomal RNA". It matches the Rfam family "Bacterial small subunit ribosomal RNA", at positions 524 to 776 of the family's 1533-position model. The record is from RNAcentral.
UACAGAGGUCUCAACCGUUGUUCGGAUUCAUUGGGCGUAAAGGGUGCGUAGGCGGUCGCGCAAGUCGGAUGUGAAAUCUCAGGGCUCAACCCUGAAACUGCAUUCGAUACUGCCGUGCUUGAGGACUGGAGAGGAGACUGGAAUUUACGGUGUAGCGGUGAAAUGCGUAGAUAUCAGGAGGAACACCGGUGGCGAAGGCGGGUCUCUGGGCAGUAACUGACGCUGAGGAGCGAAAGCGUGGGGGAGCGAACAGG